UUUAGGGUAGCAUAUUCCCUUUUUGAUGCCAUUUUUGGAUACCCUAUAUAUAGAAAGCACUCACUCUCACAGAAAAAGGUAGGAAAAAGAUUGAACGACUGAAAAACAAAGCUUUUGAAAAGUUUUCUUAAGAAAUUUUGAUUUCUCUCUUCUACUCUGGAGGUUUUUGUUGGGAAUUUCAGAGGUUGAAGAACAGGUCUUGAUUUCCUUCACGAUUGUUUUAAGUUGAUUAGUUGCCUAUUCUUGCUUUGGUUCUAUUCUGGUGUUUUAACCUUCAGUUCUUUUUGGAACCAAGCUCACUCGAAUGUGGGCUGUUUGUUGCUGCUUGUUUUUCUUCUUCAAAUAUUCAGAAAGUUCUGCUUCUUUUCCUUGGUUUUCUUUCCUGCUACCGUUGUUAAGGUAUGUGUAUUUAGUUUCAAAUGAUGUAAUUUGGGUGUUCCAUUUCUAUGAAAAUCUCAAUUUUUGUUUGUUCAUUAAUAUGUGAUAUUGAGUGCCAUUUUCUUGCUUCUGAGCUGAGUUUUGGUCUCGAAGUGUCUGAUGUGAGUAAUGUCUGAAACCAUACUGAAAAUUCGAGUAAUAAUAGAAAAAAUCAUGAAAAAGCAGUAAUUUGAGUGAGCAAUGUGUGUUUGCUAAGGUUUGAUUUGUUCCUAACUUGUAAUGUGUUUUCAUAUCAUGUUCUGUUUCAACAGAUCUAUGGCUCAGGGUUUAACUACCAUCAUUGUUAGCAUGGAAUUUAGGAGUUUGUUAGUGCCUAACUCAAUUGAAAUUUCAUAGGUAUUGAAAGUAGUCAUUUGUAUAUUAAAAUGAUAUCUUCCUUUGUAUUCACUUUUUUUUAGAACUGAAUAUAUAUGGCAUAUUGAGUAACUUCGUGUUGCUUUGAUUCGAUGUAGUUUGCCACUAAUUUUCUCCUUAUGAAAAGAUGGGAGUUUGAAUGCUUGGUUUUAGGUUGAAGAAGUAGUAUGUAGAAGUCAUGAAUAUAUAAUUGGAUUUUUGUGUUAUAAAAUGAGUAAUCAUGUUUUGUCUUUCUCCUCAUUUUAGUUCUUUAAUAUGCUAAAUAUUUCCUGAAAUAGUUGUAUGAAUUUAUUGAUUUUAUGGAAUCUAAAGCUACACUUGAGAAGUGUACAUGCCAAUGAGCCUAUGUGGGGAAACAAGAGUCCAAUGGACUCCAUGGAUAUGUAGCCCACGAUUCGGAGGUCUACAUGAGACUUGUUCAGCAUAUGGGGCUUCAUUGCCUCAAUUUGGUCAUCUGUAUCGUGGGGAAAUAUGCAUUUCUUUUAUGAAUUUCAUUUAAAUCAUUUAUAUAAGUUCAAAUCAAUUCUUCGCUACUCUGGAUUAAAUAGCAUGUUUUAUACAAGUAGUAGAUUGAUGUAUUAAUUUAAUAUGACAUUAAGUUUGGUUCAGUUAAUAGGAUUUGUGAGUUGAGUUACUAUCUUUGAAUUUGCCUGGGUUCGAUAGGCCUCAAGAGGAUUUGGGCAUGAACAUGGCACCGGUAGUCAGCUUCCUUUGGGCCUGCUUUUGGGUCCGGUUGUGUGCCCUGCUUCUGGGCUAAAUUUUGAGCCCAUUGAUGGUUAUGCUUAUCUCUUUGUCUUUCUUAAGAAAAAAAAUGAGAAGCGAGUAUUAACUCUUUGGGCCUGCAGUUGGCCCAAGUACUUGCCGCAAUUUGCUUGGUCUGUCGCCUUGCUUUUUACACUUUUUUUUCAGCAGCUUGAGCCCAGUGUUCGGAUGAAAUUAUCCUAAGCUUAAUCAAGUAUAAUCCCUUUAAAAAUGAUUGGAGGUGUGCCAUCUUUUGUUAAAAUCACCCAUGGCCCUCUUAUUAGUUAAUACAAACUUAGAAGUAAUUAAUUCUUUAAACACCCGUAAUUUGCUUUAGGCGCGUAAUUAAAUUAUUGCAACUACUGGUACGGCUCCCGUAGCGUAGUUGUGAUAAUUAGUUUUAAAUUAGUUUUAAAAUAGGGACAACUUUAGUUUGCCUUUAAAAUGUAUAUAACCUUCUUUGUUUUAAAUUAACUUGAGGUGUGCCAUGCUUUAAAUAUAUAACACAUGACCUUCACAAAUUUAGACCAAAUAAUUUGGGGCGUGCCAUAUACAAAUAAAAUCCUUUAAUUUAUGGCCCUCAUAUAAAUACAAAAUUAGUUUAGAAAUACCUUGAACCUUCGUAAUUUGCUUUAAGCGCGUUAAUUAAAUAAUUGUCAUAGCUACGAGUACGAUUCUCGUGACGUAGUUGUGACGCCUAAUUAUUAAAAUUCGGGGGUACAUUUAUGUGACCUGACAAUAACUUAAUCUUUAAAAAUUAAACAUGUUGUAGAUCAUGGGUACGGUUCCCGUGACAUGAUUCGCAAUGUGUAUCAAACAAACAAGUGUACGACAAUCGUAACUUGUUCUAGAAUAAUUCCAUAAAUUAAUAAAAACGGUUAUAAAGUUAAAAAUGCACAAUAGGUUUAAAAUGUGUAGUAAAGCAGAUAAUAGGCCAAUAUUAAUAGUUUAAGCGAUCAUGCUAAAACAAUGGAACCUGGGAAUGCCUAACACCUUCUCCCGGGUUAACUGAAUUUCUUAUCUAGAAUUUCUGGUUCGCAGACUUAUAAAAUAAAGUCGAAAUUUCCUUGAUUUGGGAUUUUAAUAAACUGGUGACUUGGGACACCAAAUAAAUUAUUCCAAGUGGCAACUCUAAAAAAUUUAAUAAAUAAUCCCAUUUCGAAUAAUGUCACUUUAAUUGGAAAAACUCCCUCAUAUACCCUCUCGGUUGUAAAAAGGAGGUGUGACAUACGCAGAAGCGGAAAGUCAUGAUCUAAGUGAAAACCGCACCUGUGAUGGUUUUUCCGCAGGUACAGCAUCGCAGAUGUGACCCCUUGCCCACGGAAGCGAGAUCCCUGAGCAGAAAUAGGAAAUUUUUGAGGAUUUGGUCUCAUUUUUCAUUUUUGGACCUAGAGAGCUCGGUCUGUGGUGAUUUUUCGAGAGUUUUUCAAGGAAAUCAUUGGGGUAAAAAAUUCUAACUCGGUUUUGGCUAUACUACACGAAUCUAUUGUUGUUUUCAUCAUUUAAUUAGUGUUUUGAGGUGGAAAUUUGGGAAAACAUUUGUGAAAUUCCUUAGGCUAAAUUUUGGGAAUUUGAACUAUUUGAGGCCGGAUUUGAGUAAUUCUUGCAUGCUUGGACUCAUUAUCGAAUGAUUGUUAGAAUUUUAUAAUUUUUGUCGAGUUUUGAGACGCGGGUUUGGGUUGACUUUUUGAGUUGACUUUUUAUUUCUUUGUAAAGAUUAUAAUUUUAUUGUUCGUAAUAGUUUUCUAUAGUUUAUAUUUAUGGUAUGAAGUUAUUUUGGUUAGAUUCGAGCCGUUCGGAGUUGGACAAUUGAGGGAAAGGCUUACUAGUGGAUUGAGGUAGCAUGUUUUGAAGUAAGUGUCUUGCAUAACUUUGUGUGGGGGAAUUAUCCCUUAGUAUUGGUGUUGUUUUAUGAUAAUUGUAAUGUGUGGAAGCCGUGUAUGCAAAGUGACGAGUGGGUACACAUGCUAAAUGUGGAAAUUUACCGGUUAUAACUAUGUGCAUUCCUUUCAUGCCUUAGUUGAGUUAUCUUAUCAUGUUAUAUUUAUCAUCACUAGACUAUUUUCACAUGCUCUACUUGUUUUGUCUCUUACUUGUUAAUUGCUCUACAUGCUUAGUUGAUGUUCUUGUUUCCUCUAUUUCUUAUUCAUUAUUUAACCGUUGAAUUUUUUACUUGAAAUUGUUAUUCUUGGAAUAUCUUGUUGUUGAAAUUGAUAUUGAGUUAUAAAGGUCGUGAUCCAUAUUGAGGCAAGUAGAAAAAGUUGUGAAAUACUAUCUUUGUUGAGUCACUCAUUUCCAAUUGUCAUUGUUGAUACUCUUGUGCAUAUUAUGGUUAAGCCAUGAGCUACUUGUUAUGAAAACACUAUUGUUGUUGGUUUCUUGGCAAGUUGUGAUAUUGAGUACUUGAGGUGCAAUUUGUGAUAUGUUGUGAUAUUGAUACACAUGCGGUGAUAUAAGUUUUUGAGGUUAAAACGCAUGCGGUGUGAUAAAGUGGGCUUGAUACGCAUGUUGCUAGUAGAGGAACUACUUGAAGCCACAAGGUGUGAUAAGGUGAGCCCAAACACGGGAUGCUAUUUCCAAAAAAAAAAUGAUUUUCAAAACUAAAUGCAAGGCUCCCGCGGUGAUAUAACGAAAGAUUAUGAAUUGUUGUUGUGAUUUGAGACUACAAGGCGGUACUUCGGUAGUGACUCUUAUUGAUACUUCUCCAUUACUUCACUUGUGUUUGGUUGUUUCAUUUCCUUUACUUGUUUUUCUUUGCAUCACUUGCCUUAGUUUAGUGUAGUUAAUCUUGGUAUAUUUCUUGCUUGUUUCCUUUCCAUUGUUAUUAUUAUUAUACUGUUAACUACUCGUUUAGUUUCUUAUUUAUUCCAGUAGGGCCUUGACCUAACCUCGUCACUACUCUACUAAGGUUAGUAUUAGAACUUACUGGGUACCGUUGUGGUGUACUCAUGCUACACUUUUGCACAUCUUUUUAUACAGAUCCAGGUACCUCCUACUCGUCUAGGCACUAGCGAGAGCUCAGCUCCGGAGACUUCAAGGUAUACCUACCGGCAUCCGUAGGCCUCGGAUUCCCUCUCUACCUAGUUUAUUUUAUUUUCUUAUCCUUUUAUAGACACUGAUGUAUAUAGGGAUGUUCAGUACCAUCUUAUAGAGCUUGUGACUUGUAUUCGCCGGGUUUUGGAAAAUUGUAUAUGCUGAGUUGUGGAGUUUUCUUUAUUAAUAUUGUUGAGUAUUUGAGAGUUUAUUAUUGUUUACGUUAUAUUCUACAUGAAUGUUUAGGCUUACCUAGUCUUAGAGACUAGGUUCCAUCACGACAUCCUACGGAGGAAAUUGGGGUCGUGACUAGUUGGUAUCAGAGCUCUAGGUUCAUAGGUGUUAUGAGUCACAAAUAGGGUUAGUAGAGUCUCACAGAUCGAUAGGGAGACGUAUGUACUUAUCUUCGGGAGGCUAUGAAACUGUUAGGAAAAACUUCACCUCUUUGAUUAUUU
Molecule: long non-coding RNA, 5021 nt
Filed under: Nicotiana tabacum (common tobacco)
Lineage: Eukaryota; Viridiplantae; Streptophyta; Magnoliopsida; Solanales; Solanaceae
Description: long non-coding RNA (NTAB_LNC012291)
Source: RNAcentral